RNAcentral lists this ribosomal RNA (404 nucleotides) under uncultured bacterium. RNAcentral describes it as "bacterial SSU rRNA". It matches the Rfam family "Bacterial small subunit ribosomal RNA", at positions 355 to 776 of the family's 1533-position model. The record is from RNAcentral.
UGGGGAAUAUUGGACAAUGGGCGCAAGCCUGAUCCAGCAACGCCGCGUGAAUGAUGAAGGCCUUCGGGUCGUAAAGUUCUUUUAGCAGGGAAGAAAAUGACGGUACCUGCAGAAUAAGCACCGGCUAACUUCGUGCCAGCAGCCGCGGUAAUACGAAGGGUGCUAGCGUUGUUCGGAAUUACUGGGCGUAAAGGGUGCGUAGGUUGUUUAUCAAGCUAGUGGUGAGAGCCCGGGGCUUAACCCCGGAAUUGCCAUUAGAACUGAUAGGCUAGAGAGUGUUAGAGGUGAGUGGAAUUUCUAGUGUAGGAGUGAAAUCCGUAGAUAUUAGAAGGAACAUCAAUGGCGAAGGCAGCUCACUGGGUCACAUCUGACACUGAGGCACGAAAGCGUGGGUAGCAAACAGG